GGCAAGAUGGCCGAGUGGUCUAAGGCGCUGUGUUCAGGCUCUUUUGAGAUACCUAAACAAAAUAAAUUCGCAGUCUCCCUGAGGCGUGGGUUCGAAUCCCACUCUUGUCA
RNAcentral lists this transfer RNA (110 nucleotides) under Malassezia vespertilionis. It matches the Rfam family "tRNA". From Rfam's summary of the family: Transfer RNA (tRNA) molecules are approximately 80 nucleotides in length. Their secondary structure includes four short double-helical elements and three loops (D, anti-codon, and T loops). Lineage: Eukaryota; Fungi; Basidiomycota; Malasseziomycetes; Malasseziales; Malasseziaceae. The record is from Rfam by way of RNAcentral.